GACGAACGCUGGCGGCGUGCUUAACACAUGCAAGUCGAGCGGUAAGGCCCCUUCGGGGGUACACGAGCGGCGAACGGGUGAGUAACACGUGGGUGACCUGCCCUCAGCUCUGGGAUAAGCCUGGGAAACUGGGUCUAAUACCGGAUAUGACUCCAUGACGCAUGUCGUGGGGUGGAAGGCCUUGUGCGGCUGGGGAUGGGCCCGCGGCCUAUCAGCUUGUUGGUGGGGUGANGGCCUACCAAGGCGACGACGGGUAGCCGGCCUGAGAGGGCGACCGGCCACACCGGGACUGAGACACGGCCCAGACUCCUACGGGAGGCAGCAGGUGGGGAAUCUUGCGCAAUGGGCGAAAGCCUGACGCAGCGACGCCGCGUGAGGGAUGACCGG
Molecule: ribosomal RNA, 387 nt
Filed under: uncultured bacterium
Lineage: Bacteria
Description: bacterial SSU rRNA
Rfam family: Bacterial small subunit ribosomal RNA
Source: RNAcentral